This 705-nucleotide long non-coding RNA is filed under the name Homo sapiens (human). RNAcentral's name for it is "HSALNT0397768". Lineage: Eukaryota; Metazoa; Chordata; Mammalia; Primates; Hominidae. The record is from RNAcentral.
GGUGCUGACAUAAUUUCCUGACCUCUGACCCGUAUUGUCUCGCGAUUAAAGGUCCAGAUUUGGAACAAAUCUCUCUAGAGAUUGAACAGAGCUGCGCCUGGAUCCCUCAGCAGUGAGGAGACCUGAAGACCAGAGGAAACACAGCAAUAGAGAUGAAGUUUCACCAUGUUGGCCAGGCUGGUCACAAACCAGCCAGCCUCAGCUGAUCUGCCAGCCUCAGCCCCCCAAAAUGCUGGAAUUACAGGGGCUCACCAGAGAAGACAGGGCAAGGUGAGGGGGAUCUCCUAGCAGAGGAAACAACAUGCGCCAAUCAAGCAAAGAUAUUUUUGUGCAUUCAAGGAACACAGAGAGGAAAGACAGUGGCAGAUGGAGACGUAUAAAGCAGGGAUCCUGUUAUGAAAAGCCCUAAAAAAUAGGGUAUAGAGUUUGGGCCAUAUUUCAGAGGUAAUAAGAAAGCAUUCUGCAUUUUUAAAGUAAGGUUUAAAAAUGUUUCUAAUUAGAGAUACAGCAAAGUUGGUGUGAGAGGAUAAAGACUGAUAUACAUAAUCUGAGGAGUUCAUGAAAAUUCCAUGUAAAGCCUGUAGUAUGAAUUGGUCCUAGGAGACAGACAGCUUCAGGGGCAUAGAGAACUUUAAGCACUUUUCCAAGAAGAGUGAAGGGCUGGAGAAUAAAUUGUGAACUAAAAUAUAUUUUGUGUUUGAGAAC